This 36-nucleotide small RNA is filed under the name Bombyx mori (domestic silkworm). RNAcentral's name for it is "ovarian small RNA-34154". The record is from RNAcentral. Lineage: Eukaryota; Metazoa; Arthropoda; Insecta; Lepidoptera; Bombycidae.
UGCUCAGAAUCGAAUAAUAGGCUUCAACUGUAGGCA